UCUUGAGCAUUUUAUUUUCCGGUGGAGUGGCGCUGCAUUGGAAACGUUUCACCGCGGUGAUGAAAGUGUAGAACGCUGCGAGAGCUGAUUUCGACGGGCUUUUCAGAAGACGCGGUGGCGUAGUUUUGUUGAAAUUCAGUGUCGCCUUCUGGGAUAUGAUUCAAAUCCGCCUGACGAGCACGAGCUCAAAUCUUCCAACAAAAAAUCUUUCAGCAGCAGAGGUGUUGGCAAUGCCUUGGCCGAUUUAAUCGCUCCAGAAUCCAUGGAAUCUACUCUCAGAAGAAAAAAGGGAUGUAUCCCAAAUGAGUGAGUCAAGAUUUGGUGGCAAUGCCUCGUUCAAUGGAGGGACAAUGGUAAUUGAGUAAAGAGUGUAGGGGACUGCUGGCGAGUUGCAUCCUGCAAUCCAAACUGAGGACGAGGACGGGUUUUGGAGAGAUAAUCUAAUAGUAUGAGAAUAAACUUCUGACCGUAACAGUUCAAAUUCAGAGGCUUCCAGAUUUCAUAGAUUGUCUUCAAAUUAAUCUUUAGAGCUCAACCUUUAACUCAUUUAUAUUUGAAAAGAAACUGAAGAGAUGUACAGCUAUAAAGAUUCUUCAAU
Molecule: long non-coding RNA, 598 nt
Organism: Andrographis paniculata
Lineage: Eukaryota; Viridiplantae; Streptophyta; Magnoliopsida; Lamiales; Acanthaceae
Exons: 4
Source: RefSeq, a predicted model, not a curated record